This 1868-nucleotide long non-coding RNA is filed under the name Triticum aestivum (bread wheat). Its description in RNAcentral is "long non-coding RNA (TAES_LNC024265)". Lineage: Eukaryota; Viridiplantae; Streptophyta; Magnoliopsida; Poales; Poaceae. The record is from RNAcentral.
UUGUUUCUCUUCUGUGAUGCAAUACUGAACUAUGGCGAGUCAAGCAAAAGCAAAGAAAACGACAUCUCACAAUUGUACAGUACUUUUUAUAUGCGAAAAUAUAUGUCAUUAGUACACAGUAAAUGUGCAUUCGAGGGAUGCCACGGCAGCAAAAAUAGUGGAAACCAUCUUAACAGAAAAUCUAGCAUCUAUUGGCAACUCUUCUUUUCUUUCUGAGGACAUCUAACACUAUUUCUUACCAUCUAACACUAUUUCUUACUCUUCUUGGUGGAAACAUCCAAGGCCUGCAAAGUCAACCUUGUGCGGGUCGAACUUCGCCAUUUUGUAAGCGACAAGCAGGCAGAGGUGAGGAAUGAUAUCUUGACGGAGAGAUGAAAAGGAGAAAUACUUGAAUAAGUACAAAGAUAAGGUGUGUUAAAAACCUAACAUAACGCAUAUUGAGAACAAAGAAGUAGAAGUAAUGGUAAAAAUGAAAUCGAAAAACUUACAGAAUAAAAGCCCUUCAUGGAUGAAAUAAAGUUGUUUGGACAGAAUGAGAAAACAACAUUAAGUAUGUAUACAAGGCUUUAGUAUAAAAAAUUGCAGAAUAUUCAAAGAACACUCUCAAGCAAGAUCUACAAUUGAAUUCAGAGAAAGCUGUAUACAACUGGGACAUACUCUGGAGGAUGUGAUCAGAUAUAGUUAAACUUGGACGCACUAGAAAUAAUGUAUACACUAGAUACAUAAAGAACAUAAGUGGCAGAUUUUUUAGAGAACAAACUAUAGGGAAACAAAUCAACUCUAGGUAAGUUGUAUCUAGAACUGUAUAGGAUAUGGGGAGUACGGACUUACAACAAUUAGCGAUAAGCGCCCGCCAACCCAGAUAGAAUCAUUUAAAAUUGGUUUCAACUUUUCUCGAAUGGGUUGGUGUGAAAAACUGCAUUUUCUUCGUUCAAGUGGGAAGUAAUAUAGGUGCACAAAUUCACUGGGGCUAUCUAGGGAUCUCACCAAAAUUUACAGGCCACUAUGACUAACUGUCACUUAUGUGUAAAUUUGCAAAGAACUAGCAUUCUUUAUAUGCCAAUCAUUCAAAAAAUCGACGGUAUGAUUUAUGCCAAUUUGUACUAGACUGUUAAGAUCUACAGAUUGAAGGGGAGGAAAACAUUUAUAAGGGUGAUUCAACUCAAAAGUUUCAUUGGGAAGAAAUACGGGUGCGCACAUCCAUAGUAUGUGCUGUUGAAAAUGAGACAAGUAGCUUCAGCCAUGUACUAGCUACCACUAUGAAACAAUUAAGCAAGAACACAACUGCUUAAUUUGCAACUAACACUAUUACAAAACAUAUUUUUUUCCCUAUAAGCAAAACCGAAUUGAUAAAAUACCGAACAAUACACCAUAUGAGUGAGUUCAGCCCUAAAAUAUGAGCUAAAGAUAAAGAGAGAGAGUGUUGCAACAUUUUACCUCCAGCCCGUAGAAUUCAAAAUCAAACCUCUUGUCUGCUAGAUCUGAACCUGGCAUGUACACAUGAAGAAAAACAUCACAUGAUGGAUAAAUUGGCACAGGGAGGAACCUCAAAAAUGAGGGGAAGCAUGAAACUAGAGAGGCGCUAAGGGAUCUGACCAAUCUAUAGAAACUAUCACAAAUCUGCCAACAAAAAAAAAGGGAUGAAUCAAACCAUGUGUUACUUCCUGUGAGAGAGGAAAUAGGAAACCACAAGGGAGGAGAAAAGAAUCACCUCGCCGCCUACAAGCCUAGCGAAGAAGAGAAAGAUCUGCAGGAGAAGAGAAAGAUCAAUAGAAGCAGGAGAAGGAGCAAGAAUAGUGACGAAGAACAUGGUGGAGAAGAAACGGUACCGGUCGCUAGACAAAAGAAAACUGGAGAAAGAGUUGGCC